UUAUCUCUACAAUGUGAUAUUGCAAAAACACUUUUGAAACAAAAGAAAUCUAUUAUUCAGGUAUAUUUAUGACAGAUCUCAAGAGUAUAAACAUUCACAAAGACAACAAUUGAAAUAUACCCACACAUUGAGGAAGUAUAAUAAUGGUCUGUAUUUACCAAUAUCAUAAAUUCUAAAAAAUUCCUGAGCUAUCUAAAAUAUCUAUUUCCUCACUCUAUCUUUUUAGCAGGCUUAAGUUCACCCUACUACUUUUGACUGUGGAAAACCUGGUUAGUGCCUAGAAGACGGAAUAAGAAAAAAUAAAGAAAAUUAUUCCUUGUUCAUUGUUAACAUGACUCCAUCACAAUAAGAAAAUGAGGAUCAAUCAUCACCUGGAGUAACUUGCCCCAAGUUCUCAGGACUAGUAAGUGGAGAAGCAGCUGAAAAAGGAUAUUACACCUUCACUUUCCUCAAGACUGCACAUAUCAAGACAAUGAACCUUCAAGUGCACAGACUAAAUAUGCCCAAGCAAGGGAAGAAAUCCAAUGGUCUAGAGCAGAAGGAUGCAGUGAAGAAAUACUUUAACAUCUAAAUGUUUCAGAAAAAAAUCUAGUGCUUACAAGCUAGCAUGGCUCAGAAGUAUUUUCUACCCUUAUGGCUUUUGCAUCAAGGUUUCUAAUCUAGAAAUAGGUCAGUGUUUUCAUGGUCAGGUAAAUUUGAUUGAGGACACUGAUAACGAAAGAUAAAAUAGGCUCAUUUUACAAGCAGUUUGCAGUAAUGCCAUGAUCUUAAAAUUAGCUGUCUCUGUAUUAAAAACACUUAAUUUUUUAAACAAUCUCCUUUUUUAUCUCCUUUUUUAUAGCAUUG
This is a long non-coding RNA of Acinonyx jubatus (cheetah), 846 nucleotides long. RefSeq lists it as uncharacterized. NCBI's taxonomy places the organism in Eukaryota, Metazoa, Chordata, Mammalia, Carnivora, Felidae. The transcript is spliced from 3 exons. The record is from RefSeq and is a predicted model, not a curated record.